RNAcentral lists this ribosomal RNA (465 nucleotides) under uncultured bacterium. RNAcentral describes it as "partial 16S ribosomal RNA". It matches the Rfam family "Bacterial small subunit ribosomal RNA", at positions 339 to 795 of the family's 1533-position model. The record is from RNAcentral.
CUACGGGCGGCAGCAGUGGGGAACUUUGCGCAAUGGGCGAAAGCCUGACGCAGCAACGCCGCGUGAGUGAUGAAGGUUUUCGGAUCGUAAAGCUCUGUCAAGAGGGAAGAAACCUCCAACGGCUAAUACCUGUUGGACUUGACGGUACCUCUAGAGGAAGCACCGGCUAACUCCGUGCCAGCAGCCGCGGUAAUACGGAGGGUGCAAGCUUUGUUCGGAAUUAUUGGGCGUAAAGCGCGUGUAGGCGGUUUGCCAAGUCUGAUGUGAAAGCCCCGGGCUCAACCUGGGAAGUGCAUUGGAAACUGGUAAACUUGAGUACGGGAGAGGGAAGUGGAAUUUCGAGUGUAGGGGUGAUAUCCGUAGAUAUUCGAAGGAACACCAGUGGCGAAGGCGGCUUCCUGGACCGAUACUGACGCUGAGACGCGAAAGCGUGGGGAGCAAACAGGAUUAGAUACCCGGGUAGUC